GUUGUUGUGGCCGAGUGGUUAAGGCGAUGGAUUUGAAAUCCAUUGGGGUUUCCCUGCAGCAGGUUCAAAUCCUGCCAACAAUG
Phycodurus eques (leafy seadragon) is the source of this 83-nucleotide non-coding RNA. Lineage: Eukaryota; Metazoa; Chordata; Actinopteri; Syngnathiformes; Syngnathidae. The record is from the annotation of a RefSeq genome assembly.